CUCUCUCUCUCUCUCUCUCUCUCUCUCUCUCUCUUGCCCAAACUAAGUGAAAAAUACAAAAAAGCUUGGAUCGUACUUGAGUUUGUUAAUGGCGCCAGCCGCGGGAUCAGACAAGAUAAAGCCCCGAGAUGUAUGUGUUGUGGGUGUUGCCCGCACACCUAUAGGUGCCUUUCUUGGUUCCUUGUCCUCCUUCUCUGCCACCAAGCUUGGAUCUAUUGCCAUUGAAUGUGCUCUUAAAAGGGCAAAUGUUGAUCCAGCUCUUGUCCAGGAAGUCUUCUUUGGGAAUGUUUUAAAUGCUAACUUAGGACAGGCUCCUGCUCGGCAGGCUGCAUUAGGUGCUGGGAUACCGAAUACAGUUAUCUGUACCACCAUCAAUAAAGUCUGUGCAUCUGGGAUGAAGGCUACAAUGUUUGCCGCACAAAGCAUCCAGCUGGGAAUCAAUGAUAUUGUUGUGUCCGGUGGUAUGGAAAGCAUGUCAAAUGCCCCCAAGUAUUUGGCAGAAGCUAGAAAAGGAUCUCGAUUUGGACAUGACACAAUUGUUGAUGGGAUGCUUAAAGAUGGGUUAUGGGAUGUUUAUAAUGAUUGCUCCAUGGGAAUAUGUGCUGAGUUAUGUUCUGAUAAUCAUUCAAUAACGAGAGAGGAGCAGGAUGCUUUUGCUAUUCAAAGUAAUGAGCGUGGAAUAAGUGCUCGAGAUAGCGGUGCCUUUGCAUGGGAAAUAGCACCAGUUGAGGUUUCACUGGGCAGAGGAAAGCCAUCAAUAAUUGUUGACAAGGAUGAAAGCUUAGACAAGUUUGAUGCGGUUAAACUGAAAAAACUACGGCCAAGUUUUAAGGAGAAUCGUGGGACUGUUACUGCUGGGAACUCUUCCAGCAUAAGUGAUGGUGCAGCUGCUUUGGUAUUAGUGAGUGGAGAGAAGGCGCUAGAGCUUGGACUGCAAGUGAUUGCAAAGAUCACAGGCUAUGCUGAUGCAGCUCAGGCUCCUGAGUUGUUUACAACAGCACCUGCCCUCGCAAUACCAAAGGCGAUUUCAAACGCCGGGUUGGAGCCAUCUCAAGUUGAUUAUUAUGAAAUAAAUGAAGCCUUUUCUGUUGUGGCUGUAGCAAAUAUGAAGCUUCUUGGUCUUCCUUGGGAGAAGGGUCAAUGCACAUGGUGGUGCUGUAUCUCUGGGACAUCCAUUAGGUUGUAGUGGUGCUCGAAUUCUUGUAACUUUGUUGGGGGUCCUAAGACAUAGAAACGGCAAAGCCGGAGUUGCUGCCGUCUGCAAUGGUGGUGGGGGAGCAUCAGCACUUGUUCUAGAGCUCAUGUAAGCUUUAUUAUAACUUGGCCUCAUGUACGAGCGGAACGAUCUUUAUUAUGAUUAUCAGAUAAUCAGAUCCUUUGUACUUGGUGUGCAUGUCCGGUCAGAAAGCUCGGGUUACUAGUAAACUUGUAGUGAAAUAAUCAAUAAAUGGAUCGGUCCUUGCCGUCAAUUAGAUGAUUUCAGUUGUUUAUCGACGAAUGGAGUGGUUUAGCAAAUGUUCAUCCUGAUAUUUUUUUGUCAUGCAAGAAUGUUAAACAAAGUUGCGUCGGGAAUUAUAAUUCCCGACAUAGAACUGUAAACCGAACACUUAGAAACUGCUUCACAUACAGGAUUUGGAUAUCGACCGGGUUUUGAAUAAUGGAACCAAAGAUUGGUUGAAAAGUUUUAGAAAAGUUGGUGUGAAUUGUUGA
Molecule: RNA transcript, 1710 nt
Organism: Dioscorea cayenensis subsp. rotundata (Guinea yam)
Lineage: Eukaryota; Viridiplantae; Streptophyta; Magnoliopsida; Dioscoreales; Dioscoreaceae
Gene name: acetyl-CoA acetyltransferase, cytosolic 1-like
Exons: 15
Source: RefSeq, a predicted model, not a curated record